Molecule: ribosomal RNA, 468 nt
Filed under: uncultured bacterium
Lineage: Bacteria
Description: partial 16S ribosomal RNA
Rfam family: Bacterial small subunit ribosomal RNA
Source: RNAcentral
GACGAACGCUGGCGGCGUGCUUAACACAUGCAAGUCGAACGGAAAGGCCCUGCUUAUGUGGGGUGCUCGAGUGGCGAACGGGUGAGUAACACGUGAGUAAUCUGCCUUUGACUUUGGGACAACUUCAGGUAACUGGGGCUAAUACCGGAUAAGAGCUUCUGCUGCUUGGUGGGGGUCGGCAAGUGUCGGCGGUUGGGGAUGGACUCGCGGCUUAUCAGCUUGUUGGUGGGGUGGUGGCUUAGCAGGGCUUUGACAGGUAGCCGGCCUGAGAGGGGGACCGGCCACAUUGGGACUGGAAUGCGACCCAGACUCCUACGGGAGGCAGGAGAGGGGUGUGUUGCACAAUGGACUGAAGCCUAGCGCAGCCACGCCGCGUGCGGGAUGUCGGCCUGCGGGUUGUAAACCGCUUUCGCCUGUGACGAGGCGUGAGUGACGGUAAUGGGUGAAGAAGCACCGGCUAACUACGUG